Molecule: ribosomal RNA, 500 nt
Filed under: uncultured bacterium
Lineage: Bacteria
Description: bacterial SSU rRNA
Rfam family: Bacterial small subunit ribosomal RNA
Source: RNAcentral
GCGGGGGAUCGCAAGACCUCGCGCGAUUGGAGCGGCCGAUAUCUGAUUAGCUAGUUGGUGGGGUAAAGGCCUACCAAGGCGACGAUCAGUAGCUGGUCUGAGAGGACGACCAGCCACACUGGGACUGAGACACGGCCCAGACUCCUACGGGAGGCAGCAGUGGGGAAUUUUGGACAAUGGGCGCAAGCCUGAUCCAGCCAUUCCGCGUGAGUGAAGAAGGCCUUCGGGUUGUAAAGCUCUUUCGGCAGGGACGAAAAGGCCAUGGAUAAUACCUGUGGUUCAUGACUGUACCUGAAGAAGAAGCACCGGCUAACUACGUGCCAGCAGCCGCGGUAAUACGUAGGGUGCGAGCGUUAAUCGGAAUUACUGGGCGUAAAGCGUGCGCAGGUGGUUAUUUAAGACAGAAUGUGAAAUCCCCGGGCUCAACCUGGGAACUGCGUUUUGUGACUGGAUAGCUUAGAGUGCGGCAAAAGGGGGGGUGGGAAAUUUCCCACCUUGUU